CAGCAGCCGCGGUAAUACAGAGGGUGCGAGCGUUAAUCGGAUUUACUGGGCGUAAAGCGUGCGUAGGCGGCUAAUUGAGUCGGAUGUGAAAUCCCCGAGCUUAACUUGGGAAUUGCAUUCGAUACUGGUUAGCUAGAGUGUGGGAGAGGAUGGUAGAAUUCCAGGUGUAGCGGUGAAAUGCGUAGAGAUCUGGAGGAAUACCGAUGGCGAAGGCAGCCAUCUGGCCUAAUACUGACGCUGAGGUACGAAAGCAUGGGGAGCAAACAGGAUUAGAUACCCCUGUAGUCCCUGUCUCUUAUAC
This 301-nucleotide ribosomal RNA is filed under the name uncultured bacterium. RNAcentral describes it as "partial 16S ribosomal RNA". It matches the Rfam family "Bacterial small subunit ribosomal RNA", at positions 509 to 807 of the family's 1533-position model. The record is from RNAcentral.